Molecule: transfer RNA, 76 nt
Filed under: Clostridiales bacterium
Lineage: Bacteria; Bacillati; Bacillota; Clostridia; Eubacteriales
Description: tRNA-Thr
Rfam family: tRNA
About the family: Transfer RNA (tRNA) molecules are approximately 80 nucleotides in length.
Source: RNAcentral
GCUGAUGUAGCUCAGAUGGUAGAGCGCAUCCUUGGUAAGGAUGAGGUCACCGGUUCGAUUCCGGUCACCAGCUCCA